UCCACCUCCCAGAGCCUCCUGCUGGAUGGGGUGAAGGCAGGGCCUCCUUUUACCACUAUCCCCUCCGUCCUAUGUUUCUCCACGGAGCAAGACGUGGCUCUCACUUCCUCUUUACAAUUCCUGCCCACGACGUGCAUUUCUUGGGUCAGAAAAGGAAACAGAACCAGCCUCCGAGAGCGCACUCUUUCUCCGGUUCCUGGACUGCAUUCUAUCUGACUUCCUGUAAGACGGAUCUGUUGUGUCCGCCCGCCUAGCUCCUUUUUCCGACUUUCUUAAGAGAAGCAGCACUCGCGCCUCCUCAUAGAGAUCUGGUUGAUUCUGGUGGGGCUGACUGUCGCGGAGUCCGGACCCCUUCCCCAGGCGAUGACGCAACCUAAGCCUGACCAAUCACAGAGCCCCAUCCCGCCUUGAGACUGAAGGAGGAGGCUGCUGGAAGCCGGCGGAGCAGCUGGGACUUACAGCAGGUUCAGCACCGGGAGGGGAGAGCCAUCUUCUCACUGCUUUGGCGUAACUGAGCUAAAUAAUACGUCCGGAGCUUCUGGUGGCCCUGCUUCCUGUACUCUGUCCUCACUGGGGCGAAGCCAACCCAAGUAUGUUCGGGUUGACUGAAUAAUACAGCAAUUGCUUCCUGCGAAUUAUUGUGAGUAAUAAGUUAUUCAACACGUAUUUAUUGAGCACCUACUAAGUGGCAGAUACUCCCAGGGAAUACAAUAAUGAAGAAAACAACCAACCAGCAAUGACUUAGGACUUGCAGAGUCAUUUCCGUGCCAGGAAGUAGGGACACCAUCCAGGCAACUGGCCAGGUCCAGAUCCCAGGAAUCAUUCUCUGACAACAGAGCCCUUUCAGUAGCCCCCUCCUAAAUCCAACCCAAAUCUCCCCACGUCUCACCAUGUCCUUGACUCAGCCAUGGCCCAGGGCAUCAUCACUUCUCUGCUAAAUCACUGCAACAGUUCACCAACCGGGCAUUUGCCUCCAGUGUCACCCCAAAGUCCAUUCAGCCCACAGAAGUCACAGGAGUCCUUCCAAAACCACUGUCAAACCGAACAGAUCUGCUGGGAGCAAACAUGUAGAGGGUUGUAUCUAUGUCAAUAAUAAAAUGAAUGCUCACAGCAGGAGGCAAGUAUGAGUUUGUGAGACUCUCUUUGUGUCUGGAAAGAGUUAGUGCUGGUUUUGUGUUUUCUGACAGUGGAGAAUCAUCAUAAUGAUACAUUCAGUUGUAUCAUU
This is a long non-coding RNA of Suricata suricatta (meerkat), 1225 nucleotides long. RefSeq lists it as uncharacterized. The record is from RefSeq and is a predicted model, not a curated record. The transcript is spliced from 3 exons. NCBI's taxonomy places the organism in Eukaryota, Metazoa, Chordata, Mammalia, Carnivora, Herpestidae.